RNAcentral lists this transfer RNA (54 nucleotides) under Bursaphelenchus mucronatus. RNAcentral describes it as "tRNA-Phe". The record is from RNAcentral. Lineage: Eukaryota; Metazoa; Nematoda; Chromadorea; Rhabditida; Aphelenchoididae. RNAcentral also lists the same sequence under 1 other name.
ACUUUUUUAUUUUAUUUAAAAUAUAAUUCUGAAGAGAUUAAGAAUAUGAAAGUA